This 484-nucleotide ribosomal RNA is filed under the name uncultured bacterium. Its description in RNAcentral is "bacterial SSU rRNA". It matches the Rfam family "Bacterial small subunit ribosomal RNA", at positions 28 to 507 of the family's 1533-position model. The record is from RNAcentral.
GAUGAACGCUAGCGACAGGCCUAACACAUGCAAGUCGAGGGGUAACAGGGAGCUUGCUCCGCUGACGACCGGCGCACGGGUGAGUAACACGUAUGCAACCUACCCUAUGCAGGGGAAUAACCACGGGAAACCGUGCCUAAUACCGCGUAACGCACUGAUUGGGCAUCCGAUUGGUGUCAAAGGAGCAAUCCGGCAUAGGAUGGGCAUGCGGCGCAUUAGCUAGUUGGCGGGGUAACGGCCCACCAAGGCGACGAUGCGUAGGGGUUCUGAGAGGAAGGUCCCCCACACUGGUACUGAGACACGGACCAGACUCCUACGGGAGGCAGCAGUGAGGAAUAUUGGUCAAUGGGCGGGAGCCUGAACCAGCCAAGUCGCGUGAGGGAAGACGGCCCUACGGGUUGUAAACCUCUUUUGUCGGGGAAUAAACUGCGCCACGCGUGGCGCCCUGCAUGUACCCGCAGAAUAAGGACCGGCUAAUUCCGUG